GUGCCCCUCACCUCGGUAAUACGGAGGGUGCGAGCGUUAAUCGGAGUUACUGGGUGUAAAGCGCAUGCAGGUGGUGUGAUAAGUCAGAUGUGAAUGCCCGGGGCUCAACCUCGGAACUGCAUUCGAAACUGUCACACUAGAGUACUGUAGAGGGGGGUAGAAUUUCAGGUGUAGCGGUGAAAUGCGUAGAGAUCUGAAGGAAUACCGGUGGCGAAGGCGGCCCCCUGGACAGAUACUGACACUCAGAUGCGAAAGCGUGGGGAGCAAACAGGAUUAGAUACCCUGGUAGUCCACGCCGUAAACGAUGUCUACUUGGAGGUUGUGGCCUUGAGCCAUGGCUUUCGGAGCUAACGCGUUAAGUAGACCGCCUGGGGAGUACGGUCGCAAGAUUAAAACUCAAAUGAAUUGACGGGGGCCCGCACAAGCGGUGGAGCAUGUGGUUUAAUUCGAUGCAACGCGAAGAACCUUACCUACUCUUGACAUCCAGAGAAGCCAGCGGAGACGCAUGUGUGCCUUCGGGAGCUCUGAGACA
RNAcentral lists this ribosomal RNA (532 nucleotides) under uncultured Vibrio sp. RNAcentral describes it as "bacterial SSU rRNA". It matches the Rfam family "Bacterial small subunit ribosomal RNA", at positions 505 to 1036 of the family's 1533-position model. Lineage: Bacteria; Pseudomonadati; Pseudomonadota; Gammaproteobacteria; Vibrionales; Vibrionaceae. The record is from RNAcentral.